CCUACGGGAGGCAGCAGUGGGAAUAUUGCACAAUGGGCGCAAGCCUGAUGCAGCCAUGCCGCGUGUAUGAAGAAGGCUUCGGGUUGUAAAGUACUUUCAGUCGUGAGGAAGGUGGUGUUGUUAAUAGCAGCAUCAUUUGACGUUAGCGACAGAAGAAGCACCGGCUAACUCCGUGCCAGCAGCCGCGGUAAU
Molecule: ribosomal RNA, 192 nt
Filed under: gamma proteobacterium T16
Lineage: Bacteria; Pseudomonadati; Pseudomonadota; Gammaproteobacteria
Description: partial 16S ribosomal RNA
Rfam family: Bacterial small subunit ribosomal RNA
Source: RNAcentral